Molecule: ribosomal RNA, 785 nt
Filed under: uncultured Alphaproteobacteria bacterium
Lineage: Bacteria; Pseudomonadati; Pseudomonadota; Alphaproteobacteria
Description: bacterial SSU rRNA
Rfam family: Bacterial small subunit ribosomal RNA
Source: RNAcentral
CGGCAUGCCUCAUACAUGCAAGUCGAACGAGGUCUUCGGACCUAGUGGCGCACGGGUGAGUAACAUGUGGGAAUCUACCUGAAGGUUCGGAAUAACUGCGGGAAACUGUAGCUAAUACCGGAUGUGUCUGCAAAGAGAAAGAUUUAUCGCCUUCAGAUGAGCCCGCACUAGAUUAGCUAGUUGGUGAGGUAAUUGCUCCACCAAGGCUACGAUCUAUAGCUGAUUUGAGAGGAUGAUCAGCCACACUGGGACUGAGACACGGCCCAGACUCCUACGGGAGGCAGCAGUAGGGAAUAUUGGACAAUGGGGGAAACCCUGAUCCAGCAAUGCCGCGUGAGUGAAGAAGGCCUUCGGGUUGUAAAACUCUUUCAUCAAUGAUGAUAAUGACAUUAAUUGAAGAAGAAGCUCCGGCUAACUUCGUGCCAGCAGCCGCGGUAAUACGAAGGGGGCUAGCGUUGUUCGGAAUCACUGGGCGUAAAGCGUAUGUAGGCGGAUCAAAAAGUUAGAUGUGAAAUCCCUGGGCUCAACCCAGGAACUGCAUUUAAAACUAGUGAUCUAGAAAUUGGUAAAGGUUAGUAGAAUUUCCAGUGUAGAGGUGAAAUUCGUAGAUAUUGGAAAGAAUACCAGAAGCGAAGGCGACUAACUAGGCCAUUUUUGACGCUGAGAUACGAAAGCGUGGGUAGCAAACAGGAUUAGAUACCCUGGUAGUCCACGCAGUAAACGAUGAGUGCUAGUCGCUGGUGCAAUAGUAUCAGUGUCGAAGCUAACGCAUUAAGCACUCCGCC